CCCACCUUCACCGUACCCAUCCGUGGGACCAGAGUAACAAUAAUGCUCUCAUCCCCCUCGGCCUUGAGAUCCUCCAACAAACGAUUGAUUCCCAGCCUCAGAGAGGUCCUGAGUGUAGCCUCUUCUUUUAUAUGGUUGUGUGCUACGCUGACGAAGCUCCCCGCAAACUCACUGGUUGCUGAUGUUACCCCCUCCUGACCCUCUGGUGCAUUGAUGUAGACGUCAAACUUGGUGUACUCACCCUUCGGAAUCUCGAGUCCCCCUACAGUCAGCACCUCCUCCUCCUUCUCCUUCUCAUUCUGACUUCUUGACGGCCGCUUCCUACUCACCGUCACACUCACCGGCUUGUCCAGUGUUAUUGGGAACUUGAUUUCACCAGUUGUGGGGGCCUUCUUGACGGAGGCGCUUCUCUUCUUGACAGUGACAGCCGGGCUUGGUCGUGAGUUGAUCCAUGGGUUGCUUACCUUCUGGUAAGAGUAACGCAACUUACUCAUGUCCAGGCAGUCCUUGAUGGUGACCUUCACCACGUCCGCGUUCUCGUCGUAGAAGAGAAACUGAGAGUUGAGCCAAUCUGGGUCUGUGAAAUUGCGGCGAUUUCCUCCAUCAAGAGAGAGCCAGACGUCCCAGAGGCGGUCGAUGUUGGCGUGGUGUGAGUAGAAGAUGGGGUCGAAUGCGGCCGAGUAGAGGUUGCCCAUGUUCUCCGCAUUUUUCUGUCUCUUGUCACCGGUCCAGUAAUGGACCGGGCUGUGGGGGACGUUCUCCAUCGAGCCUGGGCCCGGGGUUUCAUUGGUGUUGGGCGGAUUGCCUCUACGGUAGGGGAGUCCCAUGUAGAGGGUGGCUGUCGUCGCAUCCACGACACUGCGGUGCAUGAUGGUGAGGUUGUAAUCGAUCUGCUGGGCGGGAGUGGGUGGGCCAUCCGUGGGGCUGUUGAAGUCGAGGUUGAUUAUGGUUGAUGGCGUGUGGGUCACAUCCCGUAGAGGAUCGUACAGUGGACUAUUUUUGUCUGUGUACAUAAGAGGUAGUGUCAUUCCGGCAGGGUGGUCCCAGUUCCAGAACGGCAGCCCGAAGGUGUCAUCGCCGAUGAGGCUGCCGAG
RNAcentral lists this unclassified non-coding RNA (1094 nucleotides) under Hevea brasiliensis (rubber tree). Lineage: Eukaryota; Viridiplantae; Streptophyta; Magnoliopsida; Malpighiales; Euphorbiaceae. The record is from RNAcentral.